GACGAACGCUGGCGGCGUGCCUAAUACAUGCAAGUAGAACGCUGAAGGAGGAGCUUGCUUCUCUGGAUGAGUUGCGAACGGGUGAGUAACGCGUAGGUAACCUGCCUGGUAGCGGGGGAUAACUAUUGGAAACGAUAGCUAAUACCGCAUAAGAGUAGAUGUUGCAUGACAUUUACUUAAAAGGUGCAAUUGCAUCACUACCAGAUGGACCUGCGUUGUAUUAGCUAGUUGGUGAGGUAACGGCUCACCAAGGCAACGAUACAUAGCCGACCUGAGAGGGGGAUCGGCCACCCUGGGACGGAGACCGGCCACAGAGUCAUACGGGAGGCAGCAGUAGGGAAUCUUCGGCAAUGGACGGAAGUCUGACCGAGCAACGCCGCGUGAGUGAAGAAGGUUUUCGGAUCGUAAAGCUCUGUUGUAAGAGAAGAACGAGUGUGAGAGUGGAAAGUUCACACUGUGACGGUAUCUUACCAGAAAGGGACGGCUAACUACGUG
RNAcentral lists this ribosomal RNA (495 nucleotides) under uncultured bacterium. RNAcentral's name for it is "partial 16S ribosomal RNA". It matches the Rfam family "Bacterial small subunit ribosomal RNA", at positions 28 to 507 of the family's 1533-position model. The record is from RNAcentral.